GCGACCCCAGGUCAGGCGAGA
RNAcentral lists this ribosomal RNA (21 nucleotides) under Zamia angustifolia. RNAcentral's name for it is "partial 26S rRNA". The record is from RNAcentral. Lineage: Eukaryota; Viridiplantae; Streptophyta; Cycadopsida; Cycadales; Zamiaceae.